GAGUUUGAUCCUGGCUCAGGAUGAACGCUAGCGACAGGCUUAACACAUGCAAGUCGAGGGGCAGCGGUGGUGAAGGCUUGCCUUUACCAGCCGGCGACCGGCGCACGGGUGAGUAACACGUAUGCAACCUGCCUGCCACAGCCGGAUAAUCGGGAGAAAUUCCGUCUAAUACGGCAUAAUGCACCUAUGGGACAUCCUGUUGGUGCCAAAGGUUGAUUCCGGUGGCGGAUGGGCAUGCGUCGCAUUAGUUAGUUGGCGGUGUAACGGACCACCAAGACGACGAUGCGUAGGGGUUCUGAGAGGAAGGUCCCCCACACUGGUACUGAGACACGGACCAGACUCCUACGGGAGGCAGCAGUGAGGAAUAUUGGUCAAUGGGCGGGAGCCUGAACCAGCCAAGUCGCGUGAGGGAUGACGGCCCUAUGGGUUGUAAACCUCUUUUGCCGGGGAGCAAAGUGCCGCACGUGUGCGGUUUGGAGAGUACCCGGAGAAAAAGCAUCGGCUAACUCCGUGCCAGCAGCCGCGGUAAUACGGAGGAUGCGAGCGUUAUCCGGAUUUAUUGGGUUUAAAGGGUGCGUAGGCGGACGCUUAAGUCAGCGGUAAAAUUGCGGGGCUCAACCUCGUCGAGCCGUUGAAACUGGGUGCCUUGAGUGGGCGAGAAGUACGCGGAAUGCGUGGUGUAGCGGUGAAAUGCAUAGAUAUCACGCAGAACUCCGAUUGCGAAGGCAGCGUACCGGCGCCCAACUGACGCUGAAGCACGAAGGCGUGGGUAUCGAACAGGAUUAGAUACCCUGGUAGUCCACGCAGUAAACGAUGAAUGCUAGUUGUCCGGGGCGAUUGAGUUCUGGGUGACACAGCGAAAGCGUUAAGCAUUCCACCUGGGGAGUACGCCGGCAACGGUGAAACUCAAAGGAAUUGACGGGGGCCCGCACAAGCGGAGGAACAUGUGGUUUAAUUCGAUGAUACGCGAGGAACCUUACCCGGGCUCAAACGCAGGAGGGAUGUUUUUGAAAGGAGGCAGCCAGCAAUGGUCUCCUGCGAGGUGCUGCAUGGUUGUCGUCAGCUCGUGCCGUGAGGUGUCGGCUUAAGUGCCAUAACGAGCGCAACCCCCGCCGGCAGUUGCUAACGGGCAAUGCCGAGGACUCUGCCGGGACUGCCGCCGCAAGGCGUGAGGAAGGCGGGGAUGACGUCAAAUCAGCACGGCCCUUACGUCCGGGGCGACACACGUGUUACAAUGGGCGGUACAGCGGGAAGCCAGGCGGCGACGCCGAGCGGAACCCGAAAGCCGUUCUCAGUUCGGAUCGGAGUCUGCAACCCGACUCCGUGAAGCUGGAUUCGCUAGUAAUCGCGCAUCAGCCAUGGCGCGGUGAAUACGUUCCCGGGCCUUGCACUCACCGCCCGUCA
RNAcentral lists this ribosomal RNA (1404 nucleotides) under uncultured bacterium. Its description in RNAcentral is "16S ribosomal RNA". It matches the Rfam family "Bacterial small subunit ribosomal RNA". The record is from RNAcentral.